RNAcentral lists this ribosomal RNA (253 nucleotides) under uncultured bacterium. RNAcentral describes it as "partial 16S ribosomal RNA". It matches the Rfam family "Bacterial small subunit ribosomal RNA", at positions 524 to 776 of the family's 1533-position model. The record is from RNAcentral.
UACGUAGGGUGCAAGCGUUGUCCGGAAUUAUUGGGCGUAAAGAGCGUGUAGGCGGCCAGGUAGGUCGGUUGUGAAAACUGGAGGCUCAACCUUCAGAGGUCGACCGAAACCAUCUGGCUAGAGUCCGGGAGAGGAGAGUGGAAUUCCUGGUGUAGCGGUGAAAUGCGCAGAUAUCAGGAAGAACACCCGUGGCGAAAGCGGCUCUCUGGAACGGUACUGACGCUGAGACGCGAAAGCGUGGGGAGCGAACCGG